Molecule: ribosomal RNA, 515 nt
Filed under: uncultured bacterium
Lineage: Bacteria
Description: partial 16S ribosomal RNA
Rfam family: Bacterial small subunit ribosomal RNA
Source: RNAcentral
GAUGAACGCUGGCGGCGUGCCUAAUACAUGCAAGUCGAGCGAAUGGAUUAAGAGCUUGCUCUUAUGAAGUUAGCGGCGGACGGGUGAGUAACACGUGGGUAACCUGCCCAUAAGACUGGGAUAACUCCGGGAAACCGGGGCUAAUACCGGAUAACAUCUUGAACCGCAUGGUUCGAAAUUGAAAGGCGGCUUCGGCUGUCACUUAUGGAUGGACCCGCGUCGCAUUAGCUAGUUGGUGAGGUAACGGCUCACCAAGGCAACGAGGCGUAGCCGACCUGAGCGGGUGAACGGCCACACUGGGACUGAGACACGGUCCAGACUCCGACGGGAGGCAGCAGUAGGGAAGCUUCCGAAAUGGACGAAAGUCUGACGGAGCAACGCCGCGUGGGUGAUGAAGGCUUUCGGGUCGUAAAACUCUGUUGUUAGGGAAGAACAAGUGCUAGUUGAAUAAGCUGGCACCUUGACGGUACCUAACCAGAAAGCCACGGCUAACUACGUGCCAGCCGCCGCAGUAA